RNAcentral lists this ribosomal RNA (252 nucleotides) under uncultured bacterium. Its description in RNAcentral is "partial 16S ribosomal RNA". It matches the Rfam family "Bacterial small subunit ribosomal RNA", at positions 524 to 776 of the family's 1533-position model. The record is from RNAcentral.
UGCGGAGGAUGCGAGCGUUAUCCGGAUUUAUUGGGUUUAAAGGGUGCGUAGGCGGACUGUCAAGUCAGCGGUAAAAUUGAGAGGCUCAACCUCUUCCCGCCGUUGAAACUGGUGGUCUUGAGUGGAUGAGAAGUACGCGGAAUGCGUGGUGUAGCGGUGAAAUGCAUAGAUAUCACGCAGAACUCCGAUUGCGAAGGCAGCGUACCGGCAUCCAACUGACGCUGAGGCACGGAAGCGUGGGGAUCAAACAGG